CUCAUAGUAACACCAAGCAGAUUUACUCCUCCUCUCAGGCCUUCUUUUUUCGGCAACUUGGUGGAGUCGCCACUAGGAUGAUUCACACGGUAGAGGUUAUCUCCCGAAGUAAAGAUCCAGCCAUCCUCUCGAGCAAUAGCCCCGCCUUGUCUGUCGCUAUUUACUCCGCCCCCAAUAUGCCAGAUCGGCGUUGGAGUAGCAUCCAAGUCAAUGUACCUCAACCCGACCCUACCGACUUUAUUUGUGUCCCCAAUGGUACUGCCAAUGAGGUACAAGCGGCGGUUCAGGGCAACAAGCCUGCUGAAGUCAAUCCAGUCCAACCCUUCGCCCCCAAAACUCGGUAGAUUGAGUUGUCGGACUCUGUCUCUUUCGCUCGCACGCAGCACUACAAUGUUCCUCCCUUCGUUGUUGUUAUCAUUUUCUGCCGUCGCUGCCGUGGAUUUCCUUUCAAUAACGUACCAAAAAAUCGUUUCAUCUGCCCUAACCAUCAGGUAUAUUGGGCUUUCAGUUUCGGUUGGCAUCACCAUUGUUCUCGCUAAAAAAACUACCAAGAAAAAGAAAUUAGUCUUCUUGAAUUACAAGAAUAUAACAGAGAAAUGCAGGAAAUUCAUUUGCUUGCUUGCUUCAUG
Molecule: long non-coding RNA, 629 nt
Filed under: Prunus dulcis (almond)
Lineage: Eukaryota; Viridiplantae; Streptophyta; Magnoliopsida; Rosales; Rosaceae
Description: sRNA ncRNA
Source: RNAcentral